Molecule: ribosomal RNA, 401 nt
Filed under: uncultured Pseudomonas sp.
Lineage: Bacteria; Pseudomonadati; Pseudomonadota; Gammaproteobacteria; Pseudomonadales; Pseudomonadaceae
Description: bacterial SSU rRNA
Rfam family: Bacterial small subunit ribosomal RNA
Source: RNAcentral
ACAUGCAGAGAACUUUCCAGAGAUGGAUUGGUGCCUUCGGGAACUCUGACACAGGUGCUGCAUGGCUGUCGUCAGCUCGUGUCGUGAGAUGUUGGGUUAAGUCCCGUAACGAGCGCAACCCUUGUCCUUAGUUACCAGCACGUUAUGGUGGGCACUCUAAGGAGACUGCCGGUGACAAACCGGAGGAAGGUGGGGGAUGACGUCAAGUCAUCAUGGCCCUUACGGCCUGGGCUACACACGUGCUACAAUGGUCGGUACAAAGGGGUUGCCAAGCCGCGAGGUGGAGCUAAUCCCAUAAAACCGAUCGUAGUCCGGAUCGCAGUCUGCAACUCGACUGCGUGAAGUCGGAAUCGCUAGUAAUCGUGAAUCAGAAUGUCACGGUGAAUACGUUCCCGGGCCUU